Molecule: long non-coding RNA, 788 nt
Organism: Antechinus flavipes (yellow-footed antechinus)
Lineage: Eukaryota; Metazoa; Chordata; Mammalia; Dasyuromorphia; Dasyuridae
Exons: 4
Source: RefSeq, a predicted model, not a curated record
AAAAGGGAACAGAAGAGAGAAACUUUAUAAAGAAGAAAUGUCUAGGAUGAAAUCUGCAGCAUUUCCAGCUUCCACGAAGACAUAUUUUAUCAGAUCCGAGAACAAAUAGAAUUCUUUUACCCGCUGAAUAUGGUACGCUCCGCAGGAGGACGAAACAAGAAGGAGGGGCUCUUCACGUGACUGAAAUUCAGAAUCAUGUGAUCCUGAAGGUUCCCCUGCCGGCUCUCUAGCCAACUGUGAGUGGAACUUCUUAGGAGGUGAGGAACAUCCCAGUUACUGAAGACUCUAGCUUCCUGGGAGUGUACUGACAGAAUAAAAGAAGGAAAAGGGUUGCAGAUGAGAAUUCUAGCCUCAAGAUACACACCUAUGGGCAUAAUCAUACAAGAUGAGGGAGUUACAUGGAUCACCGAAAGAUAUAGCUGCCCUGUCCAAAUUAAUCCAGAGCAUGAAGAUAAAGAAAAGACUUUCCCAAGAGGAAUCGAGCAGCAUGGCUCCUGAAAAUGCCCUGGUAGGGGCACACCUUAAAUUGGGAGAAGAAUAAAACAAAACCUUCUGGGAUAUUAUACAAAGCCUAUCUUGGGCUCCACCACUACCUGCUAUCUACUACCGUUUUCUCUCGAGCCCCGCCCUCCUCAACUCCAGCCCCUCAAAGUCUGCUCCCACGAUUCCUGGCAAACGCUAUCUGGUCUAACCCCAAAAGAGUUUCAAUAAUUCAUUGCCCAUAUUGGCCUCCUUCACAUUCCAGGUGGUCACGUGGGGCCUGCAAUAAAGGAAGUAAACCAAGCCGA